GACAGAGGAGGCAAGCGUUAUCCGGAAUUAUUGGGCGUAAAGCGUCCGUAGGGGGUUUGACAAGUCUGGGGUUAAAGCACGGCGCCCAACUCCGGAUCGGCCCUGGAAACUGUCAGACUUGAGUAAGGUAGGAGUUGCGGGAAUUCCCGGUGUAGCGGUGAAAUGCGUAGAUAUCGGGAAGAACACCAGCGGCGAAAGCGCGCAACUGGGCCAUUACUGACACUGAGGGACGAAAGCUAGGGGAGCGAAUGUG
Molecule: ribosomal RNA, 253 nt
Filed under: uncultured bacterium
Lineage: Bacteria
Description: partial 16S ribosomal RNA
Rfam family: Bacterial small subunit ribosomal RNA
Source: RNAcentral